GCGGGCGUAGCUCAGUUGGUAGAGCGUCAGCCUUCCAAGCUGAAGGUCGCGGGUUCGAACCUCGUUGCCCGCU
This 73-nucleotide transfer RNA is filed under the name Bacteroidales bacterium. Its description in RNAcentral is "tRNA-Gly". It matches the Rfam family "tRNA". Rfam says of the family: Transfer RNA (tRNA) molecules are approximately 80 nucleotides in length. Their secondary structure includes four short double-helical elements and three loops (D, anti-codon, and T loops). Lineage: Bacteria; Pseudomonadati; Bacteroidota; Bacteroidia; Bacteroidales. The record is from RNAcentral.